GGCGAACGCUGGCGGCGUGCUUAACACAUGCAAGUCGAACGGAAAGGCCCUGCUUGCAGGGUGCUCGAAUGGCGAACGGGUGAGUAACACGUGGGUGAUCUGCCCCUUAUUUUGGGAUAAGCCUGGGAAACUGGGUCUAAUACUGGAUAGGACCAUGCUGUAGGUGGUGUGGUGGAAAGAUUAGUUUCGGUAAGGGAUGAGCUCGCGGCCUAUCAGCUUGUUGGUGGGGUAAUGGCCUACCAAGGCGUCGACGGGUAGCCGGCCUGAGAGGGUGGACGGCCACAUUGGGACUGAGAUACGGCCCAGACUCCUACGGGAGGCAGCAGUGGGGAAUAUUGCACAAUGGGCGCAAGCCUGAUGCAGCGACGCCGCGUGGGGGAUGACGGCCUUCGGGUUGUAAACUCCUUUCAGCCAUGACGAAGCCCUUGUGGUGACGGUAGUGGUAGAAGAAGCACCGGCUAACUACGUG
Molecule: ribosomal RNA, 469 nt
Filed under: uncultured bacterium
Lineage: Bacteria
Description: partial 16S ribosomal RNA
Rfam family: Bacterial small subunit ribosomal RNA
Source: RNAcentral